CAACCUGAGAGUUUGAUUCUGGCUCAGAACGAACGCUGGCGGCAGGCUUAACACAUGCAAGUCGAGCGCCCUGCUUGCAGGGAGCGGCAGACGGGUGAGUAACGCGUGGGAACAUACCUUUCGGUUCGGAAUAGCCCCGGGAAACUGGGUGUAAUACCGAAUACGUCCUUAGGGAGAAAGAUUUAUCGCCGAAAGAUUGGCCCGCGUUAGAUUAGAUAGUUGGUGAGGUAACGGCUCACCAAGUCGACGAUCUAUAGCUGGUUUGAGAGGAUG
RNAcentral lists this ribosomal RNA (273 nucleotides) under Maricaulis sp. RNAcentral's name for it is "partial 16S ribosomal RNA". It matches the Rfam family "Bacterial small subunit ribosomal RNA", at positions 1 to 302 of the family's 1533-position model. The record is from RNAcentral. Lineage: Bacteria; Pseudomonadati; Pseudomonadota; Alphaproteobacteria; Maricaulales; Maricaulaceae.